This is a long non-coding RNA of Odontomachus brunneus, 3946 nucleotides long. RefSeq lists it as uncharacterized. The record is from RefSeq and is a predicted model, not a curated record. Lineage: Eukaryota; Metazoa; Arthropoda; Insecta; Hymenoptera; Formicidae. The transcript has 4 exons.
GAUAGGUCAAUAGUUACCACAGAUAUUCGACUAGCUACAGUUGUGUCUGGGGCUACGCGUUUCUUAUUACUGUUAAUCAAUCCCGAAAACACGUUCUCGCUUUUUUACUUUAUCGUUUUACUUCCAUAGGUUACGUUUAUCGUGUGACAGCCAUCGCCACGAAUAAAAAUUCGAGAGAGUGAUAGAGUGAUAACUCGAACACAAUGGGUGCAUUCAGUACUGCAAUUGUUCUUGCAUCUGAUUGGUGUAUAUUUGUUACAUCGAAAAGAGCAUGACGAUCAGAUGCAAGAAUUGAACACUCGGUUAUAUAGCACUAGAGGCCGAUAGUUUCUAUCUCUUGGUAAGUUACUUGACAAACAAAUCAUAUGUGUCUUCGUUUUUUCUUCAAAUUAGAUAAACACAUGAUUUAACUGUUAAGUAGCUAGCAAGAGGUUGGAACAAAAUCGGUUCUAAAUACAGCUAUUUAUCGAUCGGUCGCGCCUAUCGAUCCGUCGCGCGCGCGACAAUCGAUUGGUCGCGCGCGCACGGCGCGGUCGCUCGCGUAUCACAGGCGCGUCCGCGUACGUGACUAAUUGCGCGGGCACCGUCCUUUUGCGUCGAGCGGCCGCCAUUGACACAUCGAUCCACAUUGCUCCGUCUUUUACGCAUCUUUUGUCCGUCGAAAACGAGUCUCAUACGGGAAUAAGUGUCGAGAGUGCUGAAGAUAACAAUGUGCGAUAUCGUCAGGAGGAUAACAUAAAUUUCAGAUUCAGCAGAGCUCGUAGUUACACGUUGGGUGCAGUCAAUAUCCUCCAAAAGAUAUGAGGUGCAGCACCGGCGGUUCUGGCUCAGGACGAUGGGCUCGAAGAUUCGAAUGCAGCAGAAGAUGAUACGGAUCCAAUGCUGAGCUAGCGAUCUCUGCGCCAAGUCGGCCGACGUAUCGACCCGUAAUUGCUAAACAGCGCACUGGAAAGGCUCGAGAUCAGAAUCGUGCGGGGCACGAACACGCGUAUCCCCUCUUCGAGACAUGCUACGAAAGUGGCGAGCUAGACUUAAUUGAGGAAGAGAGUAGUGGAAAGAAGAAUUGCGAAAUGUGUCGACUAGACGUAUCGAUUAUGUCACGACUGUUGAUCUACAUUUUCACGGUAUCCUCGGGAUCGUUAAUGUGAAUCGUUCAUAUCGUAGUCAUAUUCAUAGUCGGUUGGUUUCAUUAAAUCUUUAAACGUCAAAUACGCGUCGUCGAGUGGAAGAGACUAAUUAUAAUAAUAAUCAAGCUCCGGAGCGUGAAGUAGCUAUUUGGGAAAUAUUUAGAUUAAAACCGUCGUGAUUAAUAACUUGAUAUUUGAAAAACAAGAGACCGGCUAGACUGCACAAUUCCUGUCUCUGAUGAUGUAAAUUUUUUAAAGCAUAUUAUAAUUACAUUUAUCGCCGCGCAUAUUUGAUAUGAAGUGUGUUAAAAAAAGCGAUAUGUACCAUCUAGACAGAACAAAUGUAACUUGAAAUGAAUCUCGAUGGGAUCCUUUAAAGGCAUUAAAACACGCGUAAUCCGUAGAUACACGAAUUAAAAUUAAACGACGUAUCGAGCCUCGAAAAGUGGAGCACGUUCGCUACCACUUCUUCCUGCUUCCAUUUUUAUUUUUUCUUCUUGAAAACUAAUCUGACGGCAGUGUGUUGCGCCGGUAAUUAACGUCGACCUCGCUCAAAGAUUUAAUAUCGAGAGCCGCAUACCUCGGCGUCAAUUACACGAAAGAUACGUUUGCUUCUGUCGGUCGCGCAACACCGUCUCGUAUUUCUUUCGCGAAACGCGAGGAAACGCAUGGAGACUCGAGCGAGUUUUGAUUAAUGGAACAUUGGAAGCUGAGAAAGAAGAAAGAACCGCCCCGAGCACCCAAAGGUGUAAUUAACAACGGCAAUCAGACGUCUUAGUGAAUUUUUUUAUGUAUAAGUCAAGAAGCGGAAAGACGAGAGAGGCGGAGGGGGAGGGAAGGAGCGAGUUAGUCGGAUCGGCGAAACUUAUGACAGUUCGAUGGAUAUUCCUUCCAACACGAGCAACGCUCGAGUUCUGAGAUGAAAAAAAGCAAGCGAUAUCUUUAUUAAAGUUGGAAGCCUCCGUAUACUUCCGAUAUCUAUCCGUGUCUCUUAAAUUACAGUUUCGCGGUGCAUCUCUUGGACGAUGGUGAAGAGCAACUGCGAAUACAACAUACAAAAUACAACGCGAUACAUAUAUUUACUAAAAGAAUCAACAUCGGGAGGAUACAAAAUAUUAACGAAAGAUAAACUCAAAUUUCUGUUAAAAAAAAUUGUGCCUCGCUCCAGUUAAAAAAACCCUUCGCUCUAUUUUUUUAAUCAAUUUUCGUAACAAUAUCAAUUGUUGACUGCGUGACAGCUAUUUAGUCGUUAGUUUAAAAAACGGAGAAUUGGAGAUGCUCGCUACAAAAACGAGCAAAGUUAGUUUAAUGUCGGGGAAACAACAGCAAAAAAAGAUUGCUGUUUAUUGAAAAGUCAUGUAAGUCUAAGUGAGGGAGGGGGCGCGCUAGGUGGUAAUUAAGUAAGUAAUUAAGCCACUGACGUGGCUUGUAAUUAUCGCUGACGUGCUCGAGAGGGAUGAGAGAGGGUGAAAGAGACAGAGUCGCGAAGGGAGAGGAAAUCAGAAAGUUGGAAGCGAGCUUCAAAGAGCUUCAAACCUUCUUCUAGACUUUACGAUCGCAACCCCCAUGGCCUUUACAGUUGCCGAGAAAUUCGACGGGACGAGGGGGAGAAGGGGCGAGGUUGGGUGGGGGGGGAGGGCUGGUGGUGGAAACGGCAGCUGGAUAUUGAUCCCCAAACAAAACAGGCAGAGCGCGAGUGUCUAGCGGUGUAAUUUCUGACAAUCCAUGGGAUACAGCGGAGCCGGUAAAUAUCUCACGGCGUCUUCCAUUACGUAAAACAAUAUUUGCGGUGCAUUAUAAACUCGUGGUGUGUAUAUGCGAAAAAAAUUGCGAGUACGAGCUCGUUACGCGGAAAUUCCGUCUUAACGUGCGCAAAAAGAAGGCGCAAUGAAAUCCGCGCGACAUCGUGGCGUCAACAGAGCGAGUCUUUUUAACUUCUCGAGAGAAAUUUUGCAUUUUAAAGAACGAUAAGUUGCGACGUUAAAUUACAGAGAAAUUUGAACGACUUGUGGUGUACAUCUGAACUGUCGACGCACUGUCGUCAUGCUGUUCGUCACGUUUAAUUCAACUUUGAAUAACAUACAAUUUUUAUUCGCGUCACCUGUGAGAUAAUCAGUAAAUUAAUUUCAGUUUAUCGCCGAAGAUACAAUCACACAAGUGCCAGACAGUCGAUUACUGCAGAAUUUCACGAAAUGUGAAAGUAACGAAAGUCGACGUUCGGUUGAAUGUGAGCGUAUCAAGGAUCACAAAAUCGGAUUGAUUUUCGAGUUUUAAUUAUAAAUCUCAAAUCAUUCUCUUUCUCGAAUUACUCGGUUUCGUUGGGCGAUUCCUCUCGAGAAUUGUUUGUUUCCUUCGAUCCGGCAAGAUUCACUUAUUUCGCGCUUCAAUUUCGGCGAGAGCUUGCGUGUCUUUCUCUUUCCCUGCGAAAUUUCUUCCCGUACAAAUUCUCGAUCGUCUCCUCGACAGAUUCUCGAAAUUGUUUUCUACGCGAGUACUCGUUCGAGAGCGCCCUUUGAGAAAGCAGAGAGAAAGCGAGAGAAAAAGAGAGAGAGACGGAGAAUGCCCCGGUGUAAAUGCAGCGCAACCGACGAGCCCCGAGGGUCGUCUCGAAGCUCGAGUGCGAGGAAAGUUCGGCAGGCUUGCCUUUUUAUCCCUCCAGCAGACGUAAAGGGGCGCACUUACACACUCCGCACUCCCUUUCCUCGUGUCGCUCGCUAGCUCCACCUUACUCAUUCCUCACGUCUCCCUUUGCGUCCUACUACGAAGUCUAGAACCGAUGUAUAGCUAUAUUCGGUUUCCUUUCGUCUCGACUAGACGUU